This 75-nucleotide transfer RNA is filed under the name Streptomyces sp. NPDC012756. Its description in RNAcentral is "tRNA-Trp". It matches the Rfam family "tRNA". From Rfam's summary of the family: Transfer RNA (tRNA) molecules are approximately 80 nucleotides in length. Their secondary structure includes four short double-helical elements and three loops (D, anti-codon, and T loops). RNAcentral also lists the same sequence under 3 other names. The record is from RNAcentral. Lineage: Bacteria; Bacillati; Actinomycetota; Actinomycetes; Kitasatosporales; Streptomycetaceae.
AGGAGUACAGCUCAACUGGUAGAGCGGCGGUCUCCAAAACCGCGUCAUGCGCAGGUUCAAGUCCUGCUGCCUCUG